This is a long non-coding RNA of Megachile rotundata (alfalfa leafcutting bee), 815 nucleotides long. The record is from RefSeq and is a predicted model, not a curated record. Lineage: Eukaryota; Metazoa; Arthropoda; Insecta; Hymenoptera; Megachilidae.
CCAGCUAGGAUGUCAUCGACGUAGCGGUGAUUCCUCAGGGCCAUUGCUGCAAGAGGAAAACGAGCUUCCUCAUCGAUGGCAAGCUGCUCCAUCACGCGAAGUGCCAGGAAUAGGGCGGAAGCGGUGCCAUAGGUGACAGUGGUUAAGUUGUAAUCCUGCACCGGCUCCUCUGGAUAGGGGCGCCAAAGAAUCCUUUGCCACUGCACAUCAGAGGGAUGGAUCCAAAUUUGUCGUAUAUCUUGACGAUGUCAGUGAUAAAGACGAUGCGAAAGAGUCGCCAACGAGUCAAAACCAUCCAAAGGUCAGCCUGCAGCUUGGGCCCCACGCAGAGAUAGUCGUUGAGAGACACACCGGAAGAGGACGGCAACGACGCAUUAGACACGAUCUCAAUUUAGCUGAGGGAUCGUGCUGUUUAACGACCGCAUGGUGUGAGAUGUAGUAGCCAUUGUCGAAAUCCGUCCUAUCAGAGACGUGUUGGACGAGAGCUUCCGCUCGCAGUUGAGGAGAAGCUUUAGCGCAAGUGGCCUCGAGGUACCCAGAGCGGCGGCAGGAUCUUGGCGAAAAGUGGUACGAGCGAACGGUGGCGGUUGAUGUGAAAGAUGUUAAGUCUGUUGGUCCUAUCACUACCCAGCCGAGUCAGUUUGGCGAUGGGCGAUCCUGGAGGACCAGUUCGCGAAGCAUCCUGGAAGAGGGUCCCACAGACGUCGGCUCCGAGGAUGAGGUCGACUCGGGCGGGCACCCCAAAGUCGGGGUCUGCCAUUGUAAUGCCCUGAAGAUGCGGCCAGGACUCCGACAAAACUUGAUGGGCCGGCAGG